This 73-nucleotide transfer RNA is filed under the name Sphingobacteriales bacterium TSM_CSM. Its description in RNAcentral is "tRNA-OTHER". It matches the Rfam family "tRNA". From Rfam's summary of the family: Transfer RNA (tRNA) molecules are approximately 80 nucleotides in length. Their secondary structure includes four short double-helical elements and three loops (D, anti-codon, and T loops). RNAcentral also lists the same sequence under 1 other name. Lineage: Bacteria; Pseudomonadati; Bacteroidota; Sphingobacteriia; Sphingobacteriales. The record is from RNAcentral.
GCGAGUGUAAUUUAAUGGAAGAAGGCCGGUCUCCUAACCGGUGGGGGGUGUUCGAGUCGCUCCACUCGUGCUA